Molecule: ribosomal RNA, 605 nt
Filed under: Veillonella dispar
Lineage: Bacteria; Bacillati; Bacillota; Negativicutes; Veillonellales; Veillonellaceae
Description: bacterial SSU rRNA
Rfam family: Bacterial small subunit ribosomal RNA
Source: RNAcentral
CGUGAGUGAUGACGGCCUUCGGGUUGUAAAGCUCUGUUAAUCGGGACGAAAGGCCUUCUUGCGAAUAGUGAGAAGGAUUGACGGUACCGGAAUAGAAAGCCACGGCUAACUACGUGCCAGCAGCCGCGGUAAUACGUAGGUGGCAAGCGUUGUCCGGAAUUAUUGGGCGUAAAGCGCGCGCAGGCGGAUAGGUCAGUCUGUCUUAAAAGUUCGGGGCUUAACCCCGUGAUGGGAUGGAAACUGCCAAUCUAGAGUAUCGGAGAGGAAAGUGGAAUUCCUAGUGUAGCGGUGAAAUGCGUAGAUAUUAGGAAGAACACCAGUGGCGAAGGCGACUUUCUGGACGAAAACUGACGCUGAGGCGCGAAAGCCAGGGGAGCGAACGGGAUUAGAUACCCCGGUAGUCCUGGCCGUAAACGAUGGGUACUAGGUGUAGGAGGUAUCGACCCCUUCUGUGCCGGAGUUAACGCAAUAAGUACCCCGCCUGGGGAGUACGACCGCAAGGUUGAAACUCAAAGGAAUUGACGGGGGCCCGCACAAGCGGUGGAGUAUGUGGUUUAAUUCGACGCAACGCGAAGAACCUUACCAGGUCUUGACAUAGAUGGACA